UACAGAGGGUGCGAGCGUUAAUCGGAAUUACUGGGCGUAAAGGGCGCGUAGGUGGUUUAUUAAGAUGGAUGUGAAAUCCCUGGGCUUAACCUAGGAACGGCAUCGAUGACUGAUAAGCUAGAGUACGGUAGAGGGUAGUGGAAUUUCCGGUGUAGCGGUGAAAUGCGUAGAGAUCGGAAGGAACACCGGUGGCGAAGGCGCCUACCUGGACAGCUACUGACACUGAGGCGCGAGAGCGUGGGGAGCAAACAGG
RNAcentral lists this ribosomal RNA (253 nucleotides) under uncultured bacterium. Its description in RNAcentral is "partial 16S ribosomal RNA". It matches the Rfam family "Bacterial small subunit ribosomal RNA", at positions 524 to 776 of the family's 1533-position model. The record is from RNAcentral.